Zophobas morio is the source of this 527-nucleotide long non-coding RNA. RefSeq lists it as uncharacterized. The record is from RefSeq and is a predicted model, not a curated record. NCBI's taxonomy places the organism in Eukaryota, Metazoa, Arthropoda, Insecta, Coleoptera, Tenebrionidae. The transcript is spliced from 5 exons.
GUUUAAAAACUGUUUUCCAACAGUAUGGCAAAGUGCGCUCGAUGACAAUAGCAAGAAAAAAAGAUCCGAAAAAUAAUGAACUGAAAUCAAUGGGCUUUGGAUUUGUUGAAUUUUAUACGCCAGAAGACGCUGCCAAUUUAUUGAAAAAUGGGUCUAAUAUAAAAAUUGAUGGGCACAUUUUAGAGUUAAAAUUAUCGCAAAAGAAUUCACGGCCUAAAAGGAAUAAAAGGAAGUAUGCCUCUCAGAACGACAAACUGAAAGGUACUAAACUUUUGGUGCGAAACGUUCCUUUUGAAGCUUCAGUAAAAGAACUGAGAGAACUUUUUGGAACUUUUGGAAAAUUGAAAAGUGCUCGAAUUCCUAAGAAGUUUGACGGAAGCCACCGCGGUUUUGCAUUUGUCGAGUUUGCUAACCAACAAGAAGCGCAAAAUGCCUUUGAAGCACUUGCAAGCACGCAUUUUUAUGGGCGUCAUUUGGUAAUUGAAUGGGCUAAAGAUGACAGUUCUCUAGAAAAAAUUCGCGCAGAU